Molecule: non-coding RNA, 1077 nt
Organism: Oncorhynchus mykiss (rainbow trout)
Lineage: Eukaryota; Metazoa; Chordata; Actinopteri; Salmoniformes; Salmonidae
Source: RefSeq, a predicted model, not a curated record
GACUAGCCUACAUGAUCUAUUAGGAAAAUAUUCCCGAGAACGCACUCACACCUCUAUUGCUAUCUUCUCUACAGUCUAAACGAGAUCAUUGGGACGUCCCAACUCUGAUGUCAACCUGUUGAAGUGUAAAACGGUUAAUGCUGGGAGACAACCUUUGAUCCCUCCAUCGCCAACUGUGACUUUGAGGGUGGUUUCUGCUGACACACCCAGGAUCAAAUGGAAGGAUCCCCAUGGAAGAGGGUGUCAGUCAAGCCCAACAUCUACAGGAUUGGGGACCACACAACAGGGGCAGGAUCCUUCCUUCUGGCCCGCUCCCGGCUGAAUCCACGCGCUGGCUAUAUUAGCCACCUGCUCGGGCCUCUUCUGCCCGGCAACAUGAAGUACUGUCUGAGGUUCCACUACUCUCUCUGUGAAUUCAUCCAGACAGACCAGGCUCUCACCGUUUACAUUCAGGAUCAGAGCGGAAUCACACAGGAGAGGAUAUGGACCCAGAACGACAAGGUGUCUGGAUAGCGACAGAGGUCACCAUCCAGAGUCCACAUGUUGCCAAUGUAAAAUGGCUUAACAAUGGCUUUCCUUUUUAGUUAGUCAGUUAUUUUCAUUCCUCAGUCAGAACAACUGUCCUGUGCAUGCCUUGCCUAUAGUGUUUCAUAAUGUUUGUGACGGAACCCCUUGUGUUUAUUCGGCCUUACAUUGUAUCUUUGACAUCGUUUUUUUUAAUUGUCAGUCCUUUGGUUUGGCUCCAGCUUCAUAAGGAGCAGCAGUUUAAAAUGAAACACGAAUGCCGAAGUCUGUAGUCAGCGAUUCUCCUCGUUGGUUUUUCUUUUUAAACAGUGGAAUACCAAAGUGACCAACAGCAUCAGGCAAGUGGUGAAAAACAUCACUACCCAUAAUCCCUCUCCUCCUCUGUACAAUAACACCUGAGACGUAAUAGGAAACGAAACACCCCACUCGCUGUUUUAUUCGUCGUCUGCGUAGAGGUGGAUCAGAGAAUCACCAGCAGCAAGAGGGACAUCAUUGAUGUAUACAGAGAAAAGAGUCGGCCCGAGAAUUAAACCCUGUGGCACCCCCAUAGAG